AUACUUACCUGGCAAGGGAGACACCGUGAUCAAGAAGGUGGUUCGUCCAGGGCGAGGCUUAGCUAGUGCACUCUGGCUGUGCUGACCCCUGCGAAUUUCCCAAAUGUGGAAAUCUUGAUUGCAGACUUUCAGGUAGUGGGGGACUGCUCUCUGCUGAUCUUGA
RNAcentral lists this small nuclear RNA (163 nucleotides) under Salmo salar (Atlantic salmon). RNAcentral's name for it is "U1 spliceosomal RNA (ENSSSAG00000112870.1)". It matches the Rfam family "U1 spliceosomal RNA". Rfam says of the family: U1 is a small nuclear RNA (snRNA) component of the spliceosome (involved in pre-mRNA splicing). Its 5' end forms complementary base pairs with the 5' splice junction, thus defining the 5' donor site of an intron. Lineage: Eukaryota; Metazoa; Chordata; Actinopteri; Salmoniformes; Salmonidae. The record is from RNAcentral.